RNAcentral lists this ribosomal RNA (335 nucleotides) under uncultured bacterium. RNAcentral's name for it is "SSU rRNA". It matches the Rfam family "Bacterial small subunit ribosomal RNA", at positions 26 to 380 of the family's 1533-position model. The record is from RNAcentral.
AGGAUGAACGCUGGCGGCGUGCCUAAUACAUGCAAGUCGAGCGGUAAGGCCUCUUCGGAGGUACACGAGCGGCGGACGGCUGAGUAACACGUAGGAACGUACCCCAAAGUGAGGGAUAAGCACCAGAAAUGGUGUCUAAUACCGCAUGUGCUCUAAGGAGUAAAGCUUCGGCGCUUUGGGAACGGCCUGCGCAUGAUUAGCUUGUUGGUGAGGUAAAAGCUCACCAAGGCGACGAUCAUUAGCUGGUCUGAGAGGAUGAUCAGCCAGACUGGGACUGAGAACGGCCCAGACUCCUACGGGAGGCAGCAGUAGGGAAUUUUCCACAAUGGGCGAAA